AGAGUUUGAUCCUGGCUCAGGAUGAACGCUAGCGGCAGGCUUAAUACAUGCAAGUCGAGGGGUAACAUGGUAGCAAUACUGAUGACGACCGGCAAACGGGUGCGGAACACGUACAGAACCUUCCUUUAAGCGGGGGAUAGCCCAUAGAAAUGUGGAUUAAUACCCCAUAGUAUUAUUUGUUGGCAUCAACGGAUAAUUAAAGAUUUAUCACUUAAAGAUGGCUGUGCGGCUGAUUAGGUAGUUGGUUGAGGUAAUGGCUCACCAAGCCAUCGAUCAGUAACUGGUGUGAGAGCACGACCAGUCACACGGGCACUGAGACACGGGCCCGACUCCUACGGGAGGCAGCAGUAAGGAAUAUUGGUCAAUGGAGGCAACUCUGAACCAGCCAUGCCGCGUGAAGGAUGAAGGCCAUCUGGGUUGUAAACUUCUUUUAUCUGGGAAGAGAUGCUUGUUUUUUAAUGAGUUUGACGGUACCAGAGCGAAUAAGCACCGGCUAACUCCGUGCCAGCAGCCGCGGUAAUACGGAGGGUGCAAGCGUUAUCCGGAUUCACUGGGUUUAAAGGGUGCGUAGGUGGGAAUGUAAGUAAGUGGUGAAAUNUUUGAGCUUAACUCAGAAACUGCCAUUGAUACUAUGUUUCUUGAAUUUUCUGGAGGUUAGCCGAAUAUGUCAUGUACCGGUGAAAUGCUUANAUAUCACUUUUAANAACCAAUUUGCAAAGGCAGGCUGUCUAACUGGG
This 737-nucleotide ribosomal RNA is filed under the name uncultured bacterium. RNAcentral describes it as "bacterial SSU rRNA". It matches the Rfam family "Bacterial small subunit ribosomal RNA", at positions 8 to 736 of the family's 1533-position model. The record is from RNAcentral.